Non-coding RNA from Mycena latifolia, 93 nucleotides. Lineage: Eukaryota; Fungi; Basidiomycota; Agaricomycetes; Agaricales; Mycenaceae. The record is from the annotation of a GenBank genome assembly.
GGUCUGAUUGCAGAGUGGUUACUGCGCCAAGGUUUGAUUCGGUGCCAAUAAACGCUCCCUUGGCUAUUCCCUGUUCGACUCAGGGUCAGACCG